AUUGAACGCUGGCGGCAUGCCUUACACAUGCAAGUCGAACGGCAGCACGGGAGCUUGCUCCUGGUGGCGAGUGGCGAACGGGUGAGUAAUACAUCGGAACGUACCCUGAAGUGGGGGAUAACGUAGCGAAAGUUACGCUAAUACCGCAUAUUCUGUGAGCAGGAAAGAGGGGGAUCGCAAGACCUCUUGCUUUAGGAGCGGCCGAUGUCGGAUUAGCUAGUUGGUGAGGUAAAGGCUCACCAAGGCGACGAUCCGUAGCGGGUCUGAGAGGAUGAUCCGCCACACUGGGACUGAGACACGGCCCAGACUCCUACGGGAGGCAGCAGUGGGGAAUUUUGGACAAUGAGCGCAAGCCUGAUCCAGCCAUGCCGCGUGAGUGAAGAAGGCCUGCGGGUUGUAAAGCACUUUCAGUGGGGGAAGAACGGGAUACGGGGCCAAUACCCGCAUCACUGACGUUACCCACAGAAGAAGCACCGGCUAACUCCGUGCCAGCACG
This 496-nucleotide ribosomal RNA is filed under the name uncultured bacterium. RNAcentral describes it as "bacterial SSU rRNA". It matches the Rfam family "Bacterial small subunit ribosomal RNA", at positions 29 to 515 of the family's 1533-position model. The record is from RNAcentral.